AAUAAAAGAUUUGCAAGUGUGUGGUGCCCAUAGAUGAAAUCAUCGUAAUUUAUUUGAUACCACAGUUUAAAUACGAAAUUCUUUACGGUCGCUGUGUGUGUAUUAAACGAGCAUGUCAUUGAAAGCUAUUAAAUUGAUAGUGCUGGAUGCGGACGCAAUAUUUCAGCAUCGAUUUUCAUUGUUGAAGAAAUGGAUCGAUGGAGUUUCAAGAAUUAGCAUCAAUGAUGAUGAACGCAUAUCGGAAGCUGAAAGCGUCAGUAUUUUGAACUUACCAUCGCUAAAAAAAGGUAAUAUGCUGUCGAAAUCACCGUCGGCCAAACUCGAAUUAAUUUUAAAGGACAAGGAACGUCUCAACACUUGGAUUGAGAAUUACAAAAUUCAAUCAGAAAAAGACUCGGUGAAGAUUGCAACUUUUCGUGAAGCAGCAACUCGACUUAAAAUGCUUCUCGAUGACGCCGACUUUGAUGAAGGUGACUAUCGAAUUGCUAGACGCAGAGGAAUUGAAGAAAUAAACGAUAUACUUGGCAACAUCAGUGCACUUUAGUCGAUAUUGUCAACUUAUAAGUUGAGAUUAAUUUAUACCUGAAGGCAAAAUAAACAAUUUGCGAGCAUUUA
Long non-coding RNA from Bradysia coprophila, 615 nucleotides. NCBI's taxonomy places the organism in Eukaryota, Metazoa, Arthropoda, Insecta, Diptera, Sciaridae. The record is from RefSeq and is a predicted model, not a curated record.